CAGUAGCCGCGGGAAUACGGAGGGUGCAAGCGUUAAUCGGAAUUACUGGGCGUAAAGCGCACGCAGGCGGUUUGUUAAGUCAGAUGUGAAAUCCCCGAGCUUAACUUGGGAACUGCAUUUGAAACUGGCAAGCUAGAGUCUUGUAGAGGGGGGUAGAAUUCCAGGUGUAGCGGUGAAAUGCGUAGAGAUCUGGAGGAAUACCGGUGGCGAAGGCGGCCCCCUGGACAAAGACUGACGCUCAGGUGCGAAAGCGUGGGGAGCAAACGGGAUUAGAUACCCGAGUAGUCCUGUCUCUUAUACA
RNAcentral lists this ribosomal RNA (301 nucleotides) under uncultured bacterium. Its description in RNAcentral is "partial 16S ribosomal RNA". It matches the Rfam family "Bacterial small subunit ribosomal RNA", at positions 509 to 809 of the family's 1533-position model. The record is from RNAcentral.